This 2261-nucleotide unclassified non-coding RNA is filed under the name Actinia tenebrosa (Australian red waratah sea anemone). RNAcentral describes it as "uncharacterized LOC116296240, transcript variant X19". The record is from RNAcentral. Lineage: Eukaryota; Metazoa; Cnidaria; Anthozoa; Actiniaria; Actiniidae.
AAGAAAUUGAUAAAGAAGGACAUCUUCGUUAUGGCUGCAGCAGUUCGAAAAUCGUAUGUUUUUAUAAUCUUUCUUUGCAGACCAGUAACGUGUCAAAUUACUGGACCUACCAAGCUUAACUACUUCGUAGGUGAGAACGCACAGUUCAGAUGGAAUACCGCCAGCAAUUCAACACUUCUGUCAGCAACAUGGGGAAUACAAAAAGGCAACAUUGCUGAUCCUCAGUUUAUAAAUGUAGACGUAACGAGCAGUAAGGUGAACCUCAACUCAGGUUUGAAACCAGAUCUCGUUAAACGGCUAAAAUUUGACGGUGACCUCAAGACAGGUCGUGCAUGGUUUACUCUAAUGAACGUCACGGUCGAAGAUACAAACGUCUACCUCGCAAGUAUCAGUGACGAUGUUACCAGAGUCCUGCCUUACACAGCUGCAUUGCACGUAAAUGUAAAAGAACGAGAGCACAGUGACCUAACGGUAAAGGAGGCAGUGUAUUCUAAUGUUCAUAAACCAAGUGUGUCCGUUGCAGUUCUGGUUGAAGAGUUGGUUCUCUUGGCAUUGGCAACUGCUAACUAGCUGACACUGGAAACAUGUUUUGAAAUGAAGCCUUAGUGAAGAGAAGAGGCACGACAUCAAGCAAAACUAAGCUAAUUGUACAAUACUGAUAGGUGUCAAUAUGUAGGUAGUAACGCAAACCCACAGAACACUUGAAUCACGUUAUACAACCUAUAAAGAAUAUAUCCGAUGCCUUGAUUCAGUCUAUGAGCUGAUCCAUAGGUCAGGAAAUGCAAACCUAACUCAUAGAUUAAAUGAAGUUUAACGUGUUUUGUGCAGGUAUAAGAAAAUGGAAGAGGUUAGAGAAACUUUACAACUCAAGGAAGAGAUUUAACAAACUCUACUUAUACAAGAAGCUAGUCUGAUAAUCAAAUCCAAGACCCCAUGCAGAAGUGAGGAAAAGAGUCAGAGAAAACAAGCGACGUCUCUUUUCAGUUACUUGCCUUGGUGCUUAGAGUUUUUGUGUGGUAAAUAAAAUAGACUCUGCCUUUAUCGAUCAUAUCGGCAAUGUCGGCCACAUGGGACACAUGGGCCACGCCAUCGUACACACUAUUGCUUGGAACAAAAGCAUUAAACCGUAGGAGAACGAGAUGCAUCAGCUGUCGACCUUAUAGCUACACGUGGCAAGCUAUAUACAUUAACACACUCAUCUUACGUCUUUAUGAAUUAUAUACUUACAAAGUCUCGAACAAUGCGGACCAUGUGGACCGAAAAGUAAACGGUAAGUGUGGAUCUACGUAAUUCUUACUAAAUGAAUUCUCAAAAAUGACCAAAUGAUUCGACGAUCGAACCGAAAAUAAUAACUUGCAACGAAAAAAUGAAUUAAAAAACGCGAUUGGUCAAUGUGAUUUCGGUACCGAGAAGAUAGGCAAAUUCCAGGAAUCAAGCCUAAGCUCAAGCCCAUUUAGGUUUAGGUUUGGCUUCCGCUUUAAGCAAACAUCUGCCGUUUCGAUCUUCUAGAACGAUGAAUCAAGUGCUGAGUUAUAACAAAUUCCACAAUAACUUUAUAUUUGGAUUCCUAAUAAUCUUAAAUAUACCUAGAGCAGUCAAAGAGUUUUUAGGGCAAAUUAUAUGACGUAGCUGAAGCUAGACACAAAACAAAAUGAAGCCAUGGCCAAAUGCUGAAAGGAAUCGAUGAGUUGCAGUUGCAUAAGUGGACCUAGAAAUGUAGAACUUANUGAAGGAGNCAGUGCUGAAUUNAUGUGGAACAAUACCUGUGGAAANAGNAUNAUCUCAGCAACGUUUGGUAUCCUCAAAGGAAACAUAGCUGACCCACAACUAAUAAAUGUGGAUAUUAUCAAUCGAAAGAUAUAUUUUAAUAAUGAAAUGGGACCAAAAUACAAAGGAAGAGUUAAUUUUACUGGUAAUUUAGCAUUAGGGCAUGCUUGGUUCAAACUCCAAAACUUGACAAUCGGUGACUGCAAUUGGUACAUCGCAAGUAUCAGUGAUAAGAUCACCAGAGUUCUACCAUAUUCUGUACUUUUAAAAAUAAUACCAAAAGAAAAUGAAAACGCUACAGCUCCGACGACUACGUCGAACGCAAGUAGUUCCACAAGCAACAAGAAUGCUAGUUAUGCCGCUUCUUCAACACCUUCAAUCUACACAGGUGCAAAAAAGUCAACGUCCACAAGAAACAAGAUAUCCAUUGUCCUCCUUAUUUUGAUAAUCACGUUAAUAUGAAUUCAUUAUUGUGCAAGGUUAGAGUGUCUUAA